Molecule: ribosomal RNA, 253 nt
Filed under: uncultured bacterium
Lineage: Bacteria
Description: partial 16S ribosomal RNA
Rfam family: Bacterial small subunit ribosomal RNA
Source: RNAcentral
UACAGAGGGUGCAAACGUUGCUCGGAAUCAUUGGGCGUAAAGCGCACGUAGGCGGCCCAGCAAGUGGGGAGUGAAAGCCCUCGGCUUAACCGAGGAAGUGCCUUCCAAACUACUGGGCUUGAAUACUGGAGAGGGUCGCGGAAUUCCCGGUGUAGAGGUGAAAUUCGUAGAUAUCGAGAGGAACACCUGCGGCGAAGGCGGGUUGCUGGGCUGACACUGACGCUGACGCGCGAAAGCUAGGGGAGCGAACGGG